GGAGUUAGCUCAGCGGUAGAGCGCUUGCCUAGCAAGCGCAAGGCCCUGGGUUCGGUCCCCAGCUCCG
This is a non-coding RNA of Rattus norvegicus (Norway rat), 67 nucleotides long. The record is from Rfam. NCBI's taxonomy places the organism in Eukaryota, Metazoa, Chordata, Mammalia, Rodentia, Muridae.